CGCCCGUCAAACUACGAGAGGUAAGUAUAUCUAAAACCGCAAAAUUAACCUGCAAAGUGGAAUAUGCGUCUAGGAUAGAUUUGCUGAUUGGAGUUAAGUCGUAACAAGGUACCCCUACGAGAACGUGGGGGUGGAUCACCUCCUUUCUUUGGAAUCGAUAAUUAAAUGACUUUUUAGUUGUUUAAUCUUUUGACAUUACAAUUUAAUAAAUAGUGUACUUUUUUUAACAAAUCUUGAUAAUUAUGGGUUAGUGAAUAGAUGAAAAUCUGAUUGAGCUAACUUUUUUAAUGUUUACAAACGUAAUAUUAAUGUUAUUGAGUCGGAUAGUCUUCAGAUUUGAGAAAGCUUUUGCGAUUCUCACGUGCUUGCUUUUUGACAACUGAAAACAGACAAUCUUUCUGAUCUAUAAUCAAAUAUUGUAAAAUGUUUGGUUUGUAGUGAUGAUUAAAACCGAGUAAUUAACUAAUUAAAAUUUUUAUUAGAUCAAUACAAACGUUAUAAAUUAAUAAGAGUUAGUGGUGGAUUUCUUGGGAAUGGAAGGCGAUGAAGGACGUGUUAAUCUGCGAUAAGUGUUGGGGAGCUGAUAAAAAGCGAUUGAUCCAGCAAUUUCCGAAUGGGGAAACCCAAUAGUCAGAGAUGACUAUUAUUAUUAACUGAAUACAUAGGUUAUUAAAGCGAUACCUUGCGAAGUGAAACAUCUCAGUAGCAAGAGGAAAAGAAAACGAAGUGAUUUCCUAAGUAGCGGCGAGCGAACCGGGAACAGGCCAAACCGAAAUUUAUUUCGGGGUUGUAGGACACCAGAACGGACUUAAAAUUGAUAGCAGAAGUUGUUGGGAAGCAACGCCAUAGCGGGUGAUAGCCCCGUAUGCGAAAUCUUUUUUAUACCAAGGUGGAUCCUGAGUAGGGCGGGGCACGUGGAAUCCUGUCUGAAUCUGCCCAGACCAUUGGGUAAGCCUAAAUACUAACCAUUCUCCGAUAGUGAACCA
This 986-nucleotide small RNA is filed under the name Mycoplasmoides fastidiosum. Its description in RNAcentral is "bacterial LSU rRNA". The stretch from base 496 to 986 matches the Rfam family "Bacterial large subunit ribosomal RNA", at positions 1 to 497 of the family's 2925-position model. The record is from RNAcentral. Lineage: Bacteria; Bacillati; Mycoplasmatota; Mycoplasmoidales; Mycoplasmoidaceae.